UAGACAGAUUAUUGUAUUCGACUGUAUUCACGAUAUGUAUUUGUGAAUACAGUAACGUAAAUAGUGCAAUUCAUGAUCUAUUCCGCUGUUUUUAAACUGAAAGUGAAUCAAUUAACAUAAUAGACUCCU
RNAcentral lists this microRNA precursor (129 nucleotides) under Nicotiana sylvestris (wood tobacco). Its description in RNAcentral is "MIR6152 microRNA precursor family". It matches the Rfam family "MIR6152 microRNA precursor family". Lineage: Eukaryota; Viridiplantae; Streptophyta; Magnoliopsida; Solanales; Solanaceae. RNAcentral also lists the same sequence under 1 other name. The record is from Rfam by way of RNAcentral.